RNAcentral lists this ribosomal RNA (465 nucleotides) under uncultured bacterium. Its description in RNAcentral is "bacterial SSU rRNA". It matches the Rfam family "Bacterial small subunit ribosomal RNA", at positions 338 to 795 of the family's 1533-position model. The record is from RNAcentral.
CCUACGGGAGGCAGCAGUGGGGAAUAUUGCACAAUGGGGGAAACCCUGAUGCAGCAACGCCGCGUGAGCGAUGAAGGCUUUCGGGUCGUAAAGCUCUGUCGAGUGGGAAGAAAAACCAGAUACCAAUACUAUCUGGGACUGACGGUACCACUGAAGGAAGCACCGGCUAACUCCGUGCCAGCAGCCGCGGUAAUACGGGGGGUGCAAGCGUUAUUCGGAAUCAUUGGGCGUAAAGAGCGCGUAGGCGGCCCUAUAAGUCAGAUGUGAAAGCCCGGGGCUUAACCCCGGAAGUGCAUUUGAAACUAUUGGGCUUGAGUAUGGGAGAGGGAAGUGGAAUUCCUGGUGUAGAGGUGAAAUUCGUAGAUAUCAGGAGGAACACCGGUGGCGAAGGCGACUUCCUGGACCAAUACUGACGCUGAGGCGCGAAGGCGUGGGGAGCAAACAGGAUUAGAUACCCGGGUAGUC